RNAcentral lists this ribosomal RNA (374 nucleotides) under uncultured organism. RNAcentral describes it as "partial 16S ribosomal RNA". It matches the Rfam family "Bacterial small subunit ribosomal RNA", at positions 527 to 896 of the family's 1533-position model. The record is from RNAcentral.
GUAGGUGGCAAGCGUUGUCCGGAAUUAUUGGGCCUAAAGCGCGCGCAGGCGGUUCUUUAAGUCUGAUGUGAAAGCCCACGGGCUCAACCGUGGAGGGUCAUUGGAAACUGGAGAACUUGAGUACAGAAGAGGAAAGCGGAAUUCCACGUGUAGCGGUGAAAUGCGUAGAGAUGUGGAGGAACACCAGUGGCGAAGGCGGCUUUCUGGUCUGUAACUGACGCUGAGGCGCGAAAGCGUGGGGAGCAAACAGGAUUAGAUACCCUGGUAGUCCACGCCGUAAACGAUGGGUGCUAAGUGUUAGGGGGGUUUCCGCCCCUUAGUGCUGCAGCUAACGCAUUAAGCACUCCGCCUGGGGAGUACGGCCGCAAAGGCUG